AGUGAACGCUGGCGGUAGGCCUAACACAUGCAAGUCGAACGGCAGCACAGAGGAGCUUGCUCCUUGGGUGGCGAGUGGCGGACGGGUGAGGAAUACAUCGGAAUCUACUCUGUCGUGGGGGAUAACGUAGGGAAACUUACGCUAAUACCGCAUACGACCUACGGGUGAAAGCAGGGGAUCUUCGGACCUUGCGCGAUUGAAUGAGCCGAUGUCGGAUUAGCUAGUUGGCGGGGUAAAGGCCCACCAAGGCGACGAUCCGUAGCUGGUCUGAGAGGAUGAUCAGCCACACUGGAACUGAGACACGGUCCAGACUCCUACGGGAGGCAGCAGUGGGGAAUAUUGGACAAUGGGCGCAAGCCUGAUCCAGCCAUACCGCGUGGGUGAAGAAGGCCUUCGGGUUGUAAAGCCCUUUUGUUGGGAAAGAAAUCCAGCCGGCUAAUACCUGGUUGGGAUGACGGUACCCAAAGAAUAAGCACCGGCUAACUUCGUGCCAGCAGCCGCGGUAAUACGAAGGGUGCAAGCGUUACUCGGAAUUACUGGGCGUAAAGCGUGCGUAGGUGGUUAUUUAAGUCCGUUGUGAAAGCCCUGGGCUCAACCUGGGAACUGCAGUGGAUACUGGAUGACUAGAAUGUGGUAGAGGGGUAGCGGAAUUCCUGGUGUAGCAGUGAAAAUGCGUAGAGAUCAGGAGGACAUCCAGGGCGAAGGCGGCACCUGGACCCACAUUGACACUGAGGCACAAAAACGUGAGUUGCAACAGG
RNAcentral lists this ribosomal RNA (758 nucleotides) under uncultured Stenotrophomonas sp. RNAcentral's name for it is "bacterial SSU rRNA". It matches the Rfam family "Bacterial small subunit ribosomal RNA", at positions 28 to 775 of the family's 1533-position model. Lineage: Bacteria; Pseudomonadati; Pseudomonadota; Gammaproteobacteria; Lysobacterales; Lysobacteraceae. The record is from RNAcentral.